AACACGUGGGCAACCUGCCCCUAGCUCUGGGAUAACUCCGGGAAACCGGGGCUAAUACCGGAUACGACCUCGAGCGGCAUCUCUUGAGGUGGAAAGUUUUUCGGCUAGGGAUGGGCCCGCGGCCUAUCAGCUUGUUGGUGAGGUAACGGCCCACCAAGGCGACGACGGGUAGCCGGCCUGAGAGGGCGACCGGCCACACUGGGACUGAGACACGGCCCAGACUCCUACGGGAGGCAGCAGUGGGGAAUAUUGCGCAAUGGGCGAAAGCCUGACGCAGCGACGCCGCGUGAGGGAUGAAGGCCUUCGGGUUGUAAACCUCUUUCAGCAGGGACGAAGCGCAAGUGACGGUACCUGCAGAAGAAGCACCGGCCAACUACGUGCCAGCAGCCGCGGUAAUACGUAGGGUGCAAGCGUUGUCCGGAAUUAUUGGGCGUAAAGAGCUCGUAGGCGGUUUGUCACGUCGGCUGUGAAAACCCGAGGCUCAACCUCGGGCCUGCAGUCGAUACGGGCAGACUAGAGUAUGGCAGGGGAGACUGGAAUUCCUGGUGUAGCGGUGAAAUGCGCAGAUAUCAGGAGGAACACCGGUGGCGAAGGCGGGUCUCUGGGCCAUAACUGACGCUGAGGAGCGAAAGCGUGGGGAGCGAA
RNAcentral lists this ribosomal RNA (645 nucleotides) under uncultured Actinomycetes bacterium. Its description in RNAcentral is "bacterial SSU rRNA". It matches the Rfam family "Bacterial small subunit ribosomal RNA", at positions 112 to 772 of the family's 1533-position model. The record is from RNAcentral. Lineage: Bacteria; Bacillati; Actinomycetota; Actinomycetes.